AGUAAAAUGCCUGAAUUAAAGGAUUAUUUUGAUAUAAUAAUUAUGUGUAUUUAUUCACUUUUACUA
RNAcentral lists this transfer RNA (66 nucleotides) under Lasioglossum morio. RNAcentral's name for it is "tRNA-Ile". The record is from RNAcentral. Lineage: Eukaryota; Metazoa; Arthropoda; Insecta; Hymenoptera; Halictidae.